AUUGAACGCUGGCGGCAUGCCUUACACAUGCAAGUCGAACGGCAGCACGGGUGCUUGCACCUGGUGGCGAGUGGCGAACGGGUGAGUAAUAUAUCGGAACGUACCUUAUUGUGGGGGAUAACGCAGCGAAAGCUGUGCUAAUACCGCAUAAUCCCUAAGGGGGAAAGCGGGGGACCGUAAGGCCUCGCGCAAUUAGAGCGGCCGAUACCUGAUUAGCUAGUUGGUGAGGUAAAGGCUCACCAAGGCAACGAUCAGUAGCUGGUCUGAGAGGACGAUCAGCCACACGGGGACUGAGACACGGCCCAGACUCCUACGGGAGGCAGCAGUGGGGAAUUUUGGACAAUGGGGGCAACCCUGAUCCAGCAAUGCCGCGUGAGUGAAGAAGGCCUUCGGGUUGUAAAGCUCUUUUGUCAGGGAAGAGACAGCAGCUCUAACACAGUUUGCGAAUGACGGUACCUGAAGAAUAAGCACCGGCUAGCUACGUGCCAGCAGCCGCCGUAA
RNAcentral lists this ribosomal RNA (501 nucleotides) under uncultured bacterium. RNAcentral's name for it is "partial 16S ribosomal RNA". It matches the Rfam family "Bacterial small subunit ribosomal RNA", at positions 30 to 523 of the family's 1533-position model. The record is from RNAcentral.